UACGAGGGGUCCUAGCGUUGUUCGGAAUCAUUGGGCGUAAAGGGUGUGUAGGUGGCUAUGUAAGUCAGGUGUGAAAGCCCCGGGCUCAACCCGGGAAGUGCAUCUGAUACUGCGUAGCUUGAGUACCGAAGAGGAUAGUGGAAUUCCAGGUGUAGUGGUGAAAUACGUAGAUAUCAGGAGGAACACCGAUUGCGAAGGCAGCUCGCUGGGACGUCACUGACGCUGAGACGCGAAAGCGUGGGGAGCAAACAGG
RNAcentral lists this ribosomal RNA (253 nucleotides) under uncultured bacterium. RNAcentral's name for it is "partial 16S ribosomal RNA". It matches the Rfam family "Bacterial small subunit ribosomal RNA", at positions 524 to 776 of the family's 1533-position model. The record is from RNAcentral.